UGAGGAAUAUUGGGCAAUGCCCGCAAGGGUGACCCAGCAACGCCGCGUGGAGGAUGAAUGUCGUAAGAUUGUAAACUCCUGUUAGAGGGGAAGAAUAGUACCGGUUGGACCGGUAUAUGACUGUACCCUCAGAGAAAGCCCCGGCUAACUACGUGCCAGCAGCCGCGGUAAUACGUAGGGGGCAAGCGUUGUCCGGAUUUACUGGGUGUAAAGGGCGCGCAGGCGGAAUGGAAAGUCAGUGGUGAAAUCCUACAGCUUAACUGUAGAACUGCCUUUGAUACUUUCAUUCUUGAGUUCGGGAGAGAGAGACGGAAUUCCAGGUGUAGUGGUGAAAUACGUAGAUAUCUGGAAGAACACCAGUUGCGAAGGCGGUCUCUUGAUCCGACACUGACGCUGAGGCGCGAAAGCGUGGGGAGCAAACA
This 422-nucleotide ribosomal RNA is filed under the name uncultured bacterium. RNAcentral's name for it is "bacterial SSU rRNA". It matches the Rfam family "Bacterial small subunit ribosomal RNA", at positions 355 to 774 of the family's 1533-position model. The record is from RNAcentral.